CAGAUUCCACCUCUUCCCUCCCAGUGACUGACAGAUUCCACCUCUUCCCUCCCAGUGACUGACAGAUUCCACCUCUUCCCUCCCAGUGACUAACAGAUUUGGAGGUCAUUCUGCCAUGCGCACCGCCAUGCGGUGGUCCAAUUAAACUUCCCAAAGAGCAGUAACUCUAGCAGAGGUCCAAUAGUCCUUCCAGAAGAGCAGUAACUCUAGCAGAGGUCAAAUAGUUAUUCCAGAAGAGCAGUAACUCUAGCAGAGGUCCAAUAGUCCUUCCAGAAGAGCAGUAAUUCUAGCAGAGGUCCAAUAGUCCUUCCAGAAGAGCAGUAACUCUAGCAGAGGUCAAAUAGUUAUUCCAGAAGAGCAGUAACUCUAGCAGAGGUCCAAUAGUCCUUCCAGAAGAGCAGUAACUCUAGCAGAGGUCCAAUAGUCCUUCCAGAAGAGCAGUAACUCUAGUAGAGGUGAUGAAGUCUCCAUGUUGGUUUAACUGUAAAAGGACUUUCUCAGUACAUCUGCUGAGCUUUCUACCAGCACUCUUAAAAGUUCUUCACAACUUGUUUUUGCCUCAGAACUAACACUCUUGAUUAAAAUAAUAAAGUUAUCAUCAAGCAUUUGAUUUGAAUCAUGUGUAUUAGUCCAGCCCUUUGGGUUCCCAGGAUCAGGAUUAGAGCCAGGACCAGGAUUAGAACCAGGAUCAGGAUUAGAGCCAGGACCAGGAUUAGAACCAGGAUCGGGAUUAGAACCAGGAUCAGGAUUAGAACCAGGACCAGGAUUAGAACCAGGAUCAGGAUUAGAACCAGGACCAGGAUUAGAACCAGGAUCGGGAUUAGAACCAGGAUCAGGAUUAGAACCAGGACCAGGAUUAGAAC
This is a long non-coding RNA of Oncorhynchus tshawytscha (Chinook salmon), 863 nucleotides long. Lineage: Eukaryota; Metazoa; Chordata; Actinopteri; Salmoniformes; Salmonidae. The record is from Ensembl.